GAUGAACGCUGGCGGCGUGCCUAAUACAUGCCAGUCGAACGCUGAAGGAAGGAGCUUGCUCUUUCCGGAUGAGUUGCGAACGGGUGAGUAACGCGUAGGUAACCUGCCUGGUAGCGGGGGAUAACUAUUGGAAACGAUAGCUAAUACCGCAUAACAGUAGAUGUUGCAUUAUAUCUACUUAAAAGGUGCAAUUGCACCACUACCAGAUGGACCUGCGUUGUAUUAGCUAGUUGGUGAGGUAACGGCUCACCAAGGCGACGAUACAUAGCCGACCUGAGAGGGUGAUCGGCCACACUGGGACUGAGACACGGCCCAGACUCCUACGGGAGGCAGCAGUAGGGAAUCUUCGGCAAUGGACGGAAGUCUGACCGAGCAACGCCGCGUGAGUGAAGAAGGGUUUCGGAUCGUAAAGCUCUGUUGUAAGAGAAGAACGAGUGUGAGAGUGGAAAGUUCACACUGUGACGGUAGCUUACCAGAAAGGGACGGCUAACUACGUG
This 497-nucleotide ribosomal RNA is filed under the name uncultured bacterium. Its description in RNAcentral is "partial 16S ribosomal RNA". It matches the Rfam family "Bacterial small subunit ribosomal RNA", at positions 28 to 507 of the family's 1533-position model. The record is from RNAcentral.